CAGAUGCAUUCGUGAACAGUCAGGAGUGGACGCUGAGCCGGGCCGUACCAGAACUCAAAGUGGGCAUUGUGGGUAACCUGGCCAGUGGUAAGUCGGCGCUGGUGCACAGGUAUCUGACGGGGACGUACGUGCAGGAGGAAUCACCUGAAGCUGACGUGGACGCAGG
Notothenia coriiceps (black rockcod) is the source of this 166-nucleotide long non-coding RNA. RefSeq lists it as uncharacterized. NCBI's taxonomy places the organism in Eukaryota, Metazoa, Chordata, Actinopteri, Perciformes, Nototheniidae. The record is from RefSeq and is a predicted model, not a curated record. The transcript has 3 exons.